ACAACCAUCAUAUUUCGGAAGCCCGCUUAUCAUAUACGCAUCUCAGAUUGCUCCGAUGAAAACCCUAAACCCUGCUUAAGUCUUUCGCUGAUCUGUCUUGUUGGCUUUUUGAAGUUACAUACAUUGGGUAUUCUUCCCUAAAUCAAUUUUCCCGGCGAUCAAGGAGAUGGGGGUCAAUUCGGUGAGAGUAUCACAAGGGUUGCUGAGGAGUUGGUUUUCAACAGCCUCGAUGCUGGUUCCACCAAGAGGUGUGCUGCUGAGAAUAUGGCAAGUCGUGCUUGUAUGCAGAUUUAAUCGCCUAGACUAGUCGCACAAAAGGCAGUGACCGGUAUAUGUUGCUAUAGACAGUGGGACCUGCUAUGUUAAGGUGGAUGACAGUGCGACAUCAAAUAUGGCCAUUCAGAUGAUAUGCAUGCUUUCCCCGCAAGCUUUGGCUUCAAAGGGGAGAGGCUCUGAGCUAUAUUUCUGACAUUUCUUUGUUGGAAAUUGUUACUAAAACUCACUGGAGGCCAAAUGAAUAUCGUAAGGUUUUGAAGGAUGGCAAGUGUUCGUACCUUGGAAUUGAUGAUUGUAGACAAGAUGUUGGUACAACAGGUCAUUCUGUAUAAGCCAGCCUACCCGACACAUGAGUUGACUCUUGUUUGCUAAUAAGAAAAUUUGUUGGCAUUUUUCUUUUUGCAUUCAUUGUUCGUGAUGUAUUUUACAACCAAUCAGUUAGAAGGAAGCAAAUGCAUUCCUAGUACUUCUUGUUUUCUCACAAUUCAAACAAAUGAAAAAUAUUGAUUUACAUACUUUAUUUCUAAAUCUGAACUCUGUGGUCUCGCAUUCUCUGAAAGAGUCUCUGCUAAGAAUUCCCCCCAGUGUCUCCUUCAAAAUUGUUAAUAUUGAAAGGCCCGUCUCUGUUAUUCCAGCUAACUCAGGAUAUUUCCUUUCUGGCUUCUUAGAUUUUGUUCAU
Long non-coding RNA from Solanum dulcamara, 955 nucleotides. RefSeq lists it as uncharacterized. The record is from RefSeq and is a predicted model, not a curated record. NCBI's taxonomy places the organism in Eukaryota, Viridiplantae, Streptophyta, Magnoliopsida, Solanales, Solanaceae. The transcript has 6 exons.